Molecule: ribosomal RNA, 1470 nt
Filed under: metagenome
Description: bacterial SSU rRNA
Rfam family: Bacterial small subunit ribosomal RNA
Source: RNAcentral
AGAGUUUGAUCCUGGCUCAGGACGAACGCUGGCGGCACGCUUAACACAUGCAAGUCGAACGAGAGAAGAGGAGCUUGCUUUUCUGAUCUAGUGGCGGACGGGUGAGUAACACGUGAGCAAUCUGCCUUUCAGAGGGGGAUACCGAUUGGAAACGAUCGUUAAUACCGCAUAACAUAAUUGAACCGCAUGAUUUGAUUAUCAAAGAUUUAUCGCUGAAAGAUGAGCUCGCGUCUGAUUAGCUAGUUGGUAAGGUAACGGCUUACCAAGGCGACGAUCAGUAGCCGGACUGAGAGGUUGAUCGGCCACAUUGGGACUGAGACACGGCCCAGACUCCUACGGGAGGCAGCAGUGGGGAAUAUUGCACAAUGGAGGAAACUCUGAUGCAGCGAUGCCGCGUGAGGGAAGAAGGUUUUAGGAUUGUAAACCUCUGUCUUCAGGGACGAAAAAAGACGGUACCUGAGGAGGAAGCUCCGGCUAACUACGUGCCAGCAGCCGCGGUAAUACGUAGGGAGCGAGCGUUGUCCGGAAUUACUGGGUGUAAAGGGAGCGUAGGCGGGAUCGCAAGUCAGAUGUGAAAACUAUGGGCUUAACCCAUAAACUGCAUUUGAAACUGUGGUUCUUGAGUGAAGUAGAGGUAAGCGGAAUUCCUAGUGUAGCGGUGAAAUGCGUAGAUAUUAGGAGGAACAUCAGUGGCGAAGGCGGCUUACUGGGCUUUAACUGACGCUGAGGCUCGAAAGCGUGGGGAGCAAACAGGAUUAGAUACCCUGGUAGUCCACGCCGUAAACGAUGAUUACUAGGUGUGGGGGGACUGACCCCUUCCGUGCCGCAGCAAACGCAAUAAGUAAUCCACCUGGGGAGUACGACCGCAAGGUUGAAACUCAAAGGAAUUGACGGGGGCCCGCACAAGCAGUGGAGUAUGUGGAUUAAUUCGAAGCAACGCGAAGAACCUUACCAGGUCUUGACAUCGUAUGCAUAGCUCAGAGAUGAGUGAAAUCUCUUCGGAGACAUAUAGACAGGUGGUGCAUGGUUGUCGUCAGCUCGUGUCGUGAGAUGUUGGGUUAAGUCCCGCAACGAGCGCAACCCUUACUAUUAGUUGCUACGCAAGAGCACUCUAGCAGGACUGCCGUUGACAAAACGGAGGAAGGUGGGGAUGACGUCAAAUCAUCAUGCCCCUUAUGACCCGGGCCUCACACGUACUACAAUGGCUGUCAACAGAGGGAAGCAAAGCCGCGAGGUGGAGCGAACCCCUAAAAGCAGUCUUAGUUCGGAUUGUAGGCUGCAACCCGCCUACAUGAAGUCGGAAUUGCUAGUAAUCGCAGAUCAGCAUGCUGCGGUGAAUACGUUCCCGGGCCUUGUACACACCGCCCGUCACGCCAUGGGAGUCGGUAACACCCGAAGCCUGUAGUCUAACCGCAAGGAGGACGCAGUCGAAGGUGGGAUUGAUGACUGGGGUGAAGUCGUAACAAGGUA